GACGAACGCUGGCGGCGUGCUUAACACAUGCAAGUCGAACGGAAAGGCCCUGCUUUUGUGGGGUGCUCGAGUGGCGAACGGGUGAGUAACACGUGAGUAACCUGCCCUUGACUUUGGGAUAACUUCAGGAAACUGGGGCUAAUACCGGAUAGGAGCUCCUGCUGCAUGGUGGGGGUUGGAAAGUUUCGGCGGUUGGGGAUGGACUCGCGGCUUAUCAGCUUGUUGGUGGGGUAGUGGCUUACCAAGGCUUUGACGGGUAGCCGGCCUGAGAGGGUGACCGGCCACAUUGGGACUGAGAUACGGCCCAGACUCCAACGGGAGGCAACAGUGGGGAAUAGUGCACAAUGGGCGGAAGCCUGAUGCAGCAACGCCGCGUGCGGGAUGACGGCCUUCGGGUUGUAAACCGCUUUCGCCUGUGACGAAGCGUGAGCGACGGUAAUGGGUAAAGAAGCACCGGCUAACUACGUG
Molecule: ribosomal RNA, 468 nt
Filed under: uncultured bacterium
Lineage: Bacteria
Description: partial 16S ribosomal RNA
Rfam family: Bacterial small subunit ribosomal RNA
Source: RNAcentral